RNAcentral lists this long non-coding RNA (338 nucleotides) under Homo sapiens (human). Its description in RNAcentral is "HSALNT0352698". The record is from RNAcentral. Lineage: Eukaryota; Metazoa; Chordata; Mammalia; Primates; Hominidae.
UCCCAUCUCAGCCUCCCAAAGCGUUGGGAUUACAGGUGUGAGCCACUGCAACUGGCCCAGAACUGGAGUAUUUAUACACCCAAUCCUUGAAUAAACCAGCAGACCAAUUCAGAGCCCAUUUCAGUGGUGCAGGUGAGAGGUGUUAGAGACCUGGACAAGGUGGUGGCAGAUGAAGAUGGAGAGAAGAGAGAUAGGAUCUCGCUAUGUUGCCCAGGCUGACCUCCUGCCUCAUGCAUCCCUCACCAAGCUUAACAGUUUACAAAUGGGAAAUCCACAACAUUGGUCAAGAAGAAAAGGCACCAUGAAUGGGAAGACCGAAGUGCAGACAACCAGCUGGA